GUUUGUUUGGAGUUAUAAGGAAUCUAGCCUGCCCCCUGAUUAAAUUUGUAUUAAAGGGCCGCAGUAUUUUAACUGUGCAAAGGUAGCAUAAUCAUUAGGUUUUUAAUUGAAAUCUUGUAUGAAUGGCUGGACAAAAGAAGAGCUUUCUUUAUGUUAAUUUUGAAUUUAACUUUUAAGUGAAAAGGCUUAAAUAUUCCAAAGGGACGAUAAGACCCUGUAAAACUUUACAUUGUAGUUAAAAUUUUAUUUAAUUUGUAAUAUAAAAAUUUAGUUAAGGUUAUUUGUUAUGUUGGGGAGACAGAGGUAAAAUUUUUUUGUUUUAACUACUUUAGGAGUUUAACAAUUGUUGUUGGGAAUGUAAUAGAUCCUUUUUAAAGAUUAAUAAGUUAAGUUACUUUAGGGAUAACAGCGUAAUUUCUUUUAAGAGUUCUUAUCGAAAAAGAAGAUUGCGACCUCGAUGUUGAAUUAAGAGAUCUAUAUGGUGGAGGAAUUAUAUAAGAAGGUCUGUUCGACCUUUAAAAUUUU
This 525-nucleotide ribosomal RNA is filed under the name Indawmon thanayei. RNAcentral describes it as "partial large subunit ribosomal RNA". It matches the Rfam family "Bacterial large subunit ribosomal RNA", at positions 1831 to 2597 of the family's 2925-position model. Lineage: Eukaryota; Metazoa; Arthropoda; Malacostraca; Decapoda; Potamidae. The record is from RNAcentral.